Molecule: ribosomal RNA, 253 nt
Filed under: uncultured bacterium
Lineage: Bacteria
Description: partial 16S ribosomal RNA
Rfam family: Bacterial small subunit ribosomal RNA
Source: RNAcentral
UACGUAGGUGGCAAUCGUUGUCCGGAAUUAUUGGGCGUAAAGAGCGCGCAGGUGGUUGAUUAAGUCUGAUGUGAAAGCCCACGGCUUAACCGUGGAGGGUCAUUGGAAACUGGUCAACUUGAGUGCAGAAGAGGGAAGUGGAAUUCCAUGUGUAGCGGUGAAAUGCGUAGAGAUAUGGAGGAACACCAGUGGCGAAGGCGGCUUCCUGGUCUGUAACUGACACUGAGGCGCGAAAGCGUGGGGAGAAAACAGG